This 22-nucleotide microRNA is filed under the name Plutella xylostella (diamondback moth). RNAcentral's name for it is "pxy-miR-8513-5p". The record is from miRBase by way of RNAcentral. Lineage: Eukaryota; Metazoa; Arthropoda; Insecta; Lepidoptera; Plutellidae.
UAAGGAACUUAAAUCGAAUGUC